GUGCUCACUUCAGCAGCACGUGCGCUAAACUUGGAGGGACACAGAGGAGAUUGGUGUGGCCCCUGGCAAGGACCACACGAAAAUUCGUAGAGUGUUACAUAUUUCA
Molecule: small nuclear RNA, 106 nt
Organism: Otolemur garnettii (small-eared galago)
Lineage: Eukaryota; Metazoa; Chordata; Mammalia; Primates; Galagidae
Source: Ensembl